Molecule: non-coding RNA, 114 nt
Organism: Acanthosepion pharaonis
Lineage: Eukaryota; Metazoa; Mollusca; Cephalopoda; Sepiida; Sepiidae
Source: the annotation of a GenBank genome assembly
UACAGCCACAUCUACGUUGAAACACUCGUUCCUGUAUGAUCAGCAAAGUUAAGCAACGUCAAGCCUAAUCAGUACCUAGAUGGGUGACCACUUGGAAAUACCAGGCGCUGUAAG